GCGUCAUGGUCUUAUGUUUGAUAGGUUGUUCCUCAAUUUGACAGGAAAAGGUCGUAAAGUUCACCAAAGUCAGUCCAGAUAUUUAGAGAAUAUUUGAACAAGAGAGGAAAAUGAAGCUGAUUUUCUUUCUUCUUGUCCUCUUGAAAAGCGGUGAGAAUGGUUUUUCUGUUCUUAAGAUUAUGAGCUAAAUCUGACAUUUGACUGAAUCCAUGAUUAUAUUCUCUGUUUAAAUUUAAUAGCAGACAUUUGACCUAUUUUAACUGAAUUGCAAAAAUCUUGUGGGUUAACCUUAAUUAUUUUAUUGGUACUUUGUAUGAUUUUGAUAAUAAGAUAAUUAUAUAAUUAUCAUAAUAACACUACAAAUUAAACUCAAUAUUUUAAGCAGCAAUAAAAGAUGGGAUUGUCUAUCAUCUCAGUCAUCUUUAAACUAAGAAAACAUUAAUGUUCGGUAAAUGUUUUGCAGGAAUAAAUUCAACCGAAGGACUCCAUGUGCUUUAUUCAUCAGAGAGAAUUAUUUUAAAAUAUUUCUUUAACCCAGCCUUUCAAAGUCAUGAAAUAUCUUGCUGUAAGUUCAGUCAGUCACUCUGCUUCUUCUUUGUGAAUAAUAGAAGACAAGUUGCCUCCAUGUAUCGAGGAAGAAUAUUUGUCACAAAUAACAAUGGAGAAUUUGAAGUAAUAAUUACAAAUCUGAGUGUAAUGGAUGCUGGCAUGUACAGAUGUGGUUUCAGUGGGUUCCCUAAGACCUAUGAGUAUGUGGAAGUUACCGUUUCUGAUCUAAGUGGAGUAAACACAGCUCCUCUCUGGCCAAAAUCCGUCAUUAUACCAACAGUCAGCCCGUCUUAUUCUCCCUCUGCACCCAUUGCUUCUGAGAAUGAUGCAGAGACACUCAGGUAAAUUUUGUCACAAAUAUGAACCCCUAACAAUUCCAACUUUUAACAGUUAUUAAUCUGUGUAUCACAAUACAUUAAGCAGUGGCAGCUGGAGAACAUCCUUCAGUCUAGCUGCUGUUUUUAGUCUUCUGGUGUUUGCUGUCAUCUCAAUGACACUGCUCGUGUAUUGUCUAAAAACCAGGAAGAAAAAAUCCACAGGUAGGUGGAUGGACAAUGAUUAUUUUUAAUCAUCUAAGGAAUUUUUUAGCUGAACACUUUUUUUUUUUUUUUUGCCCACAGAUAAAAGUGAAGUCUGUGGUUCUCCUAACACCACACUGGUAAGCAGUUUGUACAAACUGUAUCUUCUCCACUGACUCAUAACCACAUGAAUUCAGUAUCUUAGCAAAGACAUUACAAAACAGAUAAACAUACAGCAGAUAUAAGACAUUUAAGUGUAGACUCUUUAUGAAUUAUAUUCUUAAUGAAUAUUACUCUGGGGUAAAAUUAUAAUUUCGAGAAUCAUUAGUUCAAUUACAGCUUGUUUACAGCUUGUUCAUAGUAUGCUGAUCUGUGAUCAGCUUCGUCAUCCAUAAAAGGAAAAUUAGAUAUAGCGAACAUAGCUUGAUAUAGAUGGAUGGUUUCUGAAAUGUCAUCAAACCCUGUCUGCUCAACAUUUCUCCACAGGAGCAGGACGGCAUUAUCUACUCUAUGGUGGAGUUUGAGCCCCACCAGGAUCCAUAUGAACUUUAUGCCAAUUUGCAGCUAUACAGCCCAAAAGAUGCUAAUGCUUCUUCAAGCUGUACAGUCACAGUAAAGGAAACCGUAGAAUAUUCCACUAUUAUGAGAUCAUCAGCAUAGACAUUUGCAAUGUUUGUGUUCAAUGUAUUCAUUGCUAUGAUUUGUUUUUGUUGUUGUUGCUUUUGUUUGCUUGAGGGAUUUGUUUCUUACAAGAUUUUUUUAACUAUAUUUUUAAUGCAACAUUGUACUGAUACUGUAGUAAUUAUUUUAUUCUUGAAAAUGUCAUUAUGAUGAUUAAUGCCUGAAAAUUUCUAUAUAGUAAAAUGUGUAUUAUCUAAAAAUUAGUUACUUUUAACUCUUAAACAAUUUAUGUAUUUUGACUCAUGUGGGUGUUUGACUUAGAAAGACAUAGAAACACACAGGAUGACAAUUUGUGAUGCAGUAAUUAUAAUUUUAUUUUGGAUGAACAGAGAACCUUUCAAUCAUGAAUCUCUAUUUAGAUGUCGAAAUAGGUGAAAACCAGUUUUUGCAAUCCAGUGCUUCUUUAGGCAGCAAAAUGUAGGCCCAUCAGAAUCUACUAAUUCUGUUUGAGCGAGACAACAUAAACAUAUGUGGUGACAGAUGUUGUAUGUGAUGUAUUAUGUUAGUAUCGAAUGGGAUUUAAGGGAUACUGGGAUAAUCAAGGACACUCAAAUGAAUCAAGACUACCAGUUUACAAAAACCAUAUCAAAUAAAUUCAGCAAUGAGAUUUUAUGGCACCCUUACUUUGUCUUCAUCGAGGUCCUAGGUAGGCAGAUUGUUGACCUGUCCAUGUUGAUCUGCCAGCAGGUCUCAGAGGUGAAGAGAAUCCAUUGCAUUUACUACAGACUUCAGAGGAACAAUCUUUCUUGUCAUUUUUUUUUAAUUCUAUGAACUGAAACUAGAUUGAAAAAAGAUUGAACUGGUCAUAUAGAACAGUUAUAGACUAUUAAACAGAAGUGAAACUUAAAAAGGGGGGAUCAAAUAGUCAUCUUUUCGUCAUACAUCGUUGACUGUUGUGGGCUAAUGACUGUUGUGGGCUAAUUUAAUAUUGACCACCAUUCUUCCUGUUCUUGUUGUUACACUUCUAUUUUACAUUUUUUACAUAAACCAAAUGUUUUAAAUGGUAUAUUCUAAUGAAUAUAAUUUCCCAUUCUGACAGUAAAAAUUAGACAAAAAUAUGUUUAGCGAUGUCUUUAGGGGCAUGUAUUGACACUAAUGCAUGGUAAACAAUGAUCAUGUAUUUUAGUUGUAAUAUUUUAUUGUUGUAUUAUAUGAUGUUUUUAUAGAAAUUUUCCAAAUAGAUUUGGAAUAUUACAAUAUUAUGGCAUUUUAUGCAAUUUCUACAAUUAUUUUGCUGUCUUUACUGGACAAAUAUAGUAUUUAGAGAAAUGCCUUUUUUGUAUUAAGCAUCAGAUAUUUCAUCUAAUGAAACACUUAUAGUUUGCUUAUAAUCUUAAAUUAUAUGAUCCCUUUUGAUCUCAGUCUACCUUCAACAUUAGAUGUGAAUUUCAAAGAGAGUCAGGGU
This is a long non-coding RNA of Cyprinus carpio carpio, 3153 nucleotides long. The record is from Ensembl. Lineage: Eukaryota; Metazoa; Chordata; Actinopteri; Cypriniformes; Cyprinidae.